GUCCAGACUCCUACGGGAGGCAGCAGUGGGGGAUAUUGCACAAUGGGGGGAACCCUGAUGCAGCGACGCCGCGUGGGUGAAGGAGCGUUUCGGCGCGUAAAGCCCUAUCGGCAGGGAAGAAGGAGGACGGUACCUGACUAAGAAGCCCCGGCUAACUACGUGCCAGCCGCCGCGGUAAUACGUAGGGGGCAAGCGUUAUCCGGAUUUACUGGGUGUAAAGGGGGCGCAGGCGGCAGCGCAAGGCAGGGGUGAAAGCCCGGGGCCCAACCCCGGGACUGCUCUUGGAACUGCGCGGCUGGAGUGCAGGAGGGGCAGGCGGAAUUCCUGGUGUAGCGGUGAAAUGCGUAGAUAUCAGGAGGAACACCGGUGGCGAAGGCGGCCUGCUGGACUGCGA
RNAcentral lists this ribosomal RNA (394 nucleotides) under uncultured bacterium. Its description in RNAcentral is "partial 16S ribosomal RNA". It matches the Rfam family "Bacterial small subunit ribosomal RNA", at positions 329 to 739 of the family's 1533-position model. The record is from RNAcentral.